RNAcentral lists this non-coding RNA (28 nucleotides) under Cricetulus griseus (Chinese hamster). The record is from RNAcentral. Lineage: Eukaryota; Metazoa; Chordata; Mammalia; Rodentia; Cricetidae.
ACUUCAAGUUGGCUGCGAGCAGGGUCUG